This 253-nucleotide ribosomal RNA is filed under the name uncultured bacterium. RNAcentral's name for it is "partial 16S ribosomal RNA". It matches the Rfam family "Bacterial small subunit ribosomal RNA", at positions 524 to 776 of the family's 1533-position model. The record is from RNAcentral.
UACGGAGAAUGCAAGUGUUAUCCGGAAUCACUGGGCGUAAAGCGUCUGUAGGUGGUUGAAUAAGUCAAAUGUUAAAUCUUGAGGCUCAACCUCAAAAUCGCAGUCGAAACUAUUCGACUAGAGUAUAGUAGGGGUAAAGGGAUGUUCCAGUGGAGCGGUGAAAUGCGUAGAGAUUGGAAAGAACACCGAUGGCGAAGGCACUUUACUGGGCUAUUACUAACACUCAGAGACGAAAGCUAGGGUAGCAAAUGGG